GAUACCGUGGGACAUGCCCUUCUCUGCGGAAUAGUCCUUGGAAACGAGGUUUAACACCGCAUACGCCCUUCGGGGGAAAGUUUAUCGGGGAAGGAUUGGCCCGCGCCUGAUUAGGUAGUUGGUGGGGUAAAAGCCUACCAAGCCGACGAUCAGUAGCUGGUUUGAGAGGAUGAUCAGCCACACUGGGACUGAGACACGGCCCAGACUCCUACGGGAGGCAGCAGUGGGGAAUCUUAGACAAUGGGGGCAACCCUGAUCUAGCCAUGCCGCGUGUGUGACGAAGGCUCUAGGGUCGUAAAGCACUUUCGCCAGGGAAGAUAAUGACGGUACCUGGUAAAGAAACCCCGGCUAACUCCGUGCCAGCAGCCGCGGUAAUACGGAGGGGGUUAGCGUUGUUCGGAAUUACUGGGCGUAAAGCGCACGUAGGCGGAUAUUUAAGUCAGGGGUGAAAUCCCGGGGCUCAACCCCGGAACGGCCCUUGAUACUGGAUGUCUGGAGUCCGAGAGAGGUGAGUGGAACUCCCAGUGUAGAGGUGAAAUUCCUAGAUAUUCCGAAGAACACCACUGGCGAAGGCGGCUCACUGGCUCGGUACUGACGCUGAGGUGCCCCAGCGUGGGGCAGCAACACGACUAGAUCCCCUGGCCGCCCCCUCCGCCAACUAUUACUGCCCAACCUCGCCCCCCCCUCCUGCCCCCCGCCCACCCUCAACCGAGUCAAACCUCCCCCCUGGCGAGCUCCGUCCCCCCACUUACUCCCCCUCCGCCCUUUCCCCGCUGCCCCCCCCUCCAACCCCUCUACCCAUGCCCUCUUAACUCCCACGUCACCUCGCCAAUUUCCUUCCCCCUCCCCCCCCCCCUCCCCU
Molecule: ribosomal RNA, 862 nt
Filed under: uncultured Roseobacter sp.
Lineage: Bacteria; Pseudomonadati; Pseudomonadota; Alphaproteobacteria; Rhodobacterales; Roseobacteraceae
Description: partial 16S ribosomal RNA
Rfam family: Bacterial small subunit ribosomal RNA (bases 1-679)
Source: RNAcentral